GUGGGGAAUAUUGGACAAUGGGGGGAACCCUGAUCCAGCCAUGCCGCGUGUGUGAAGAAGGCCUUUUGGUUGUAAAGCACUUUAAGCGAGGAGGAGGCUACCGAGAUUAAUACUCUUGGAUAGUGGACGUUACUCGCAGAUUAAGCACCGGCUAACUCUGUGCCAGCAGCCGCGGUAAUACAGAGGGUGCAAGCGUUAAUCGGAUUUACUGGGCGUAAAGCGCGCGUAGGUGGCCAAUUAAGUCAAAUGUGAAAUCCCCGAGCUUAACUUGGGAAUUGCAUUCGAUACUGGUUGGCUAGAGUAUGGGAGAGGAUGGUAGAAUUCCAGGUGUAGCGGUGAAAUGCGUAGAGAUCUGGAGGAAUACCGAUGGCGAAGGCAGCCAUCUGGCCUAAUACUGACACUGAGGUGCGAAAGCGUGGGGAGCAAACAGGAUUAGAUACCCGGUAGUCC
This 450-nucleotide ribosomal RNA is filed under the name uncultured bacterium. RNAcentral's name for it is "bacterial SSU rRNA". It matches the Rfam family "Bacterial small subunit ribosomal RNA", at positions 354 to 796 of the family's 1533-position model. The record is from RNAcentral.